UACGAAGGGGGGCUAGCGUUGUUCGGAAUUAUUGGGCGUAAAGCGCGUGUAGGCGGCUUUGCAAGUCGGGUGUGAAAGCCCUCAGCUCAACUGAGGAAGUGCGCCCGAAACUGCAGAGCUUGAGUACCGGAGAGGAUGGCGGAAUUCCCCAAGUAGAGGUGAAAUUCGUAGAUAUGGGGGAGGAACACCGGUGGCGAAGGCGGCCAUCUGGACGGAUACUGACGCUGAGACGCGAAAAGCGUGGGUAGCAAACAGG
RNAcentral lists this ribosomal RNA (256 nucleotides) under uncultured bacterium. RNAcentral describes it as "partial 16S ribosomal RNA". It matches the Rfam family "Bacterial small subunit ribosomal RNA", at positions 524 to 776 of the family's 1533-position model. The record is from RNAcentral.